This is a long non-coding RNA of Gasterosteus aculeatus aculeatus (three-spined stickleback), 687 nucleotides long. The record is from Ensembl. Lineage: Eukaryota; Metazoa; Chordata; Actinopteri; Perciformes; Gasterosteidae.
GCUGAGGGGAUGUGGAGGUGCACUCUGCAUUUGCAUUUCUGCACAAGAUCCCAGGACUCAUCAAGAGAACAAGCCCCAAUGAGAUAUCGAGAGAAGACGAAAUCCCCGAAGUCAAGUGCAUUUCUAUCAGUGUUCGUCACACAGAAAGGUGCCAACACGCCUUUAAUGGUCCCGCCCACAGUGUGGAUUUUAUGAAUGGCUUUGGGGGAUGAGAUGAUAUCAGAGACAGAGAGAGACCAGGUCACGGUGGGUGAACAAUAAUUGAACGCAGAGCCAAACCUUGGGGAGAGCAAAAAGGUUUCAGGAAAGAAAUGAUCCCAAAAGAAGAAGCUUUUAAUCACAGGACAAGUGGUGAGUCACAUGUGCAACAUGGCGCAGAGCGCGAUGACUGACAGGGACAGACAGGAAGAGCAGUCAAGGGGAAAGAGUCAUUCCAUGCAGUCCCUUCGGUCCCUUAACAGCCAACCCUGAUGAGAGUUCACACCUUCGGCGCUACCUGCCGUCAUCGUAUCCCGGGCUGCCAUGAUCAUCAGCAGACAGGGUUACUGUUGUGUCUGUGACAUUUUCCCUGGAGACAUGUUCCAGAUGUGACAGCCGUGGAAAAUAUGUGUCCAACUUUUCAAUACAUGUUAAUGUGUGUUGCUUUAAGUCUACUUAUCCCUUGCAGGUGAACAUUUUCUGUUUAGC